CCGCGGCUCCUGAUUGUCCAAACGCAAUUCUCGAGUCUCCGGCUCGGCCGAGAGUUGAGUCUGGACGUCCCGAGCCGCCGCC
Molecule: microRNA precursor, 82 nt
Filed under: Eptesicus fuscus (big brown bat)
Lineage: Eukaryota; Metazoa; Chordata; Mammalia; Chiroptera; Vespertilionidae
Description: microRNA efu-mir-219 precursor
Gene: efu-mir-219
Rfam family: mir-219 microRNA precursor family
About the family: The hairpin precursors (represented here) are predicted based on base pairing and cross-species conservation -- their extents are not known.
Source: miRBase by way of RNAcentral